RNAcentral lists this ribosomal RNA (280 nucleotides) under Fusarium verticillioides. Its description in RNAcentral is "partial 28S ribosomal RNA". It matches the Rfam family "Eukaryotic large subunit ribosomal RNA", at positions 351 to 650 of the family's 3401-position model. RNAcentral also lists the same sequence under 1 other name. Lineage: Eukaryota; Fungi; Ascomycota; Sordariomycetes; Hypocreales; Nectriaceae. The record is from RNAcentral.
GAGUGAUCGAAAGAUGAAAAGCACUUUGAAAAGAGAGUUAAAAAGUACGUGAAAUUGUUGAAAGGGAAGCGUUUAUGACCAGACUUGGGCUUGGUUAAUCAUCUGGGGUUCUCCCCAGUGCACUUUUCCAGUCCAGGCCAGCAUCAGUUUUCCCCGGGGGAUAAAGACUUCGGGAAUGUGGCUCUCUUCGGGGAGUGUUAUAGCCCGUUGUGUAAUACCCUGGGGGGGACUGAGGUUCGCGCAUCUGCAAGGAUGCUGGCGUAAUGGUCAUCAACGACCC